Molecule: ribosomal RNA, 427 nt
Filed under: uncultured bacterium
Lineage: Bacteria
Description: bacterial SSU rRNA
Rfam family: Bacterial small subunit ribosomal RNA
Source: RNAcentral
AACGCGAAGAACCUUACCAGGUCUUGACAUCCCGUGCAUAGCUAGGAGACUAGUGAAGCCCUUCGGGGCACGGAGACAGGUGGUGCAUGGUUGUCGUCAGCUCGUGUCGUGAGAUGUUGGGUUAAGUCCCGCAACGAGCGCAACCCUUACUAUUAGUUGCUACGCAAGAGCACUCUAAUGGGACUGCCGUUGACAAAACGGAGGAAGGUGGGGAUGACGUCAAAUCAUCAUGCCCUUUAUGACCUGGGCUACACACGUAAUACAAUGGCACUUAACAACGGGAAGCAAAGCGGCGACGUGGAGCAAAUCCCCAAAAAGUGUCUCAGUUCGGAUCGCAGGCUGCAACCCGCCUGCGUGAAGUCGGAAUUGCUAGUAAUCGCGGAUCAGCAUGCCGCGGUGAAUACGUUCCCGGGUCUUGUACACACCG